This is a non-coding RNA of Aptenodytes forsteri (emperor penguin), 47 nucleotides long. The record is from Rfam. Lineage: Eukaryota; Metazoa; Chordata; Aves; Sphenisciformes; Spheniscidae.
CCAAAGGCUCUUCUAAGAGCCACCCGCUUCCUCCGAAGAAGAGCUGU